AAUUAGCCGUUUGAAAGAGGAUCUUCGUUUCAAUUUGUGUUCUCCGUCUUCCUCCUAUAUCUCUUCUGCGAAAGAUUUGCCCAUGGCCCGAGGAGGAUGCAGACUCCGAUCAUUGUAAAAAAUCAGGAAGGAAGAUACAGAGUUUGAUCACAAGCGAAGCUUAUAGUAAUCAUUCACGGAACUAUUGAGUAAUCAAGCCCAAUGGAAAACUAGCAGAUCAGAUCAGGUAUAAUAAGUAUCCAGUUGGAGCAAUCGAGUUAAAACCAGACAAAGAAAAUAACAUAUAAAAAAGAUAGAAGGAUGCAAAAGGAUUGUAAAAACCUUUUAUGUCUAUCCAUUUGGGUGCAGUUUCCGAGAUUGGCCACUCAGACUAAGCUGGUGACAGAGAGCGAGAACUGUUGGAGAGCACUGGCUUGGAACCCCGCACUAAAUAUCUGCAAACCAUUGCAAUGCAGGUGACUCGCCAGUGGAAUUAUACAAUGCAUGAGAGACAGCCAGCCUCGUAACAUUUUGUCCAUCGCAAAUGUUGGGCUAAGAGAAAACCUCUAGAGUGUCAUCUUCUUGUUUCUGAAUCAAAUCCUUCUUUCAGAUUUAUAAUUAGAAAAUGCUCUUCCAUUAAGUGUUUCGAAGUGAGGAAAAGGCUUUACGGCCAUCAGCACGAUGCUCAACGCAGUGACCCCAUUUUUAACAUUGCUCAGUUGAAAGAAGCUUCAGAGGAAAACAAAACAGAUUCAGGUCUAUCACAAAUGGCUAAGAUUCUCGUUCAUGAAGUUCAACAUUCUGUCAGUUAUGUGUCUUCCCUAUUCUUAUUAUGCUUAGUCGUUUGACUUUUCCCUAUUCUGUCAGUUGCAUUCUCCUUCUUUCUCCUGCAGUAGUAAAAUUAAGAUAUUGUUAUGUUCUCAAAUCAGAAACAUGUACAUAAUGUAGCACCUUUCAGAGACCGUUCUUCCGUUGAUGUCAAGUCCAUCGCAAAUGGAGCUCUGAAAAUUUCUGAGAGACAGCCUUUAGAGUGUCGCCUAGUUUCUGCAGCUUUUAAUCCUUCUGCCAGAUAUGUUGCCUUCCUCUUUUAAAUAGACUUUGUUUAAUGAAAUUACAUUCUCAAUAUUUCUUCUGUUCUCUAUGUGAAUCAAAGUUUUAAUUUACUUCUGAUGCUUUAGGUAUGACAUCACUUUAGAAGGCUAUAUUACUCGGCUGGAGACGUCAGACAUGAAAACUGAGCAAUGACCGUUUUGCUGAUUAGCACCUUUUUAUAACAUGUUAGCAGAGAAUUCUUUGGUUGUUAAGGAAAUAUACUCCAAAGCUGAAUUGACGAUUUUAAGUAUUUAAUUUAUUGUUUAUACUUGUUUGAACAAUUUAUAGAUUGACCACUCAGACUAAGCUGGUGACAGAGAGCGAGAACUGUUGGAGAGCACUGGCUUGGAACACCACACCAAAUAUCUGCAACCCACUGGUAAAUUUUUAUCUAGUCAAAUAUUUUAUAUACCUUAAAUUAAUGAGUCCUUUUUGUGCAUGUUAGUGCAUCAUUAAGAACUGAAGUCAAUAGCUCUAGUCUUCGGUUACAGAGAAUAAUAUUGAAAGUUUUCAGCCUUUUAUAUGUUCUCUAAUCGCUUAUGUGGAGGUCAGUCGCAAAUAGAAUUCUACAAUGUAUGAGAGAAAACCUCUAGAAUAAACUACCCACUUAUCUUAACGCCACUAUGUAAAGAAGCUGAAGAUGCAUCUUCCGAUUGCUAUUGCUGAAAAACAGCACAGAGAAGAACCAGGAACUGGAGCAAGAACAGAUUUUUUGGAAGAACAUGAAAGAUUUUGAAAUUUGCAAGCAAUGCAGGUCACUCGCCAGUGGAAUUAUACAAUGCAUGAGAGACAACCUCAUCUUACAGUUCUGUAAGUUUUAAUCCUUCUUAGUGAUUUUCUUUUAUUUAUUCUUACCAAGGAAGAUACGACCACAAAACGAAGCUUCUAGUAAUAAUUCAUGGAACUUUUGAGUAAUUAAGCCCAGGUAUGUUCCCUUCAAUCCUUUUCUUCUGCUUAUUCUUUUGUUUUUGCUUCUAUAGUUUGAUCUUCAGACGUGUUUUCAUCUAGUUCAUCUUUGACGCAUAACUUGUGAGUAUUUCGAACUAGAAUUCAGAGAUUCAUUCUAACUUGCUUUGCUUUUGCACAACUAGUUGGGAUGGCCGAAAAAUGGGAAACAUUACGUGUUUACUCAGUUAUAUUGAAGAUAAGUUUAUAAGCUACCACUUAGCCACUCAUGAAGGAGAUAACUAUAUAAUUCGAUCAAACCUAGAAAACAACAUACUGUAUAGUGUACACGUUUUGUCUAUUUCAGGUCCAUCGAAAAGGGAGCUCUAAAGUGUCUGGAAUAAAUCUCUGGAAUUUUAUCUUCAGGUUUCUUGAAAUUUCAGUGAGUCCCAUGUAUUUGCGCUAAGCCUCUACAUUAUAGUAUCUCUCAGAUGGAGCUCACAAAUUGCUAAGAAAAACCUCUAUGUCAUCUUCUUGUUUCUGAAUCAAAUCCUUCUGUGGAGUUUCUGAACGUUCCUAUUUUUUAUUAUUGUUUGUCGUUUAAUUUUGCUCUUAUAGUUCGAAGUUACAUUCUCCAUUUUGUGGAAAAUGCUUUUCCUGCAAGUUUAUAGAAGUGGCUGAAUGCUCUUCCUGUAAGUGUCAAGAACUCGACGCUGUUUUGCACUUCCUAUUGAACGUUUUCUGAAGAAGCGGGUUGAAGGAAGCCUGAGAGAAAAACAAAACAGAGUCUCUUUGCCUGUUUAAGGUUCAUCGCAAAUGAUUUUGGUAAGGUAUGUGUCUUCCCUGUUUCUACUAUUCUUAGUCGUGUGAUUUUAUCUUGUAGUUUCAAGUUGUAUUCUCCUCUUUUCUUCUGCAUUAGUAAAAUUUAAACUUUUGUUAUGUUCUAAAAUCAGAAACACGUCUAUAAUUCCGUACCGUUCAGGGACCUUUAAACAUGACUGAGAGACAACCUUUAGAAUGUCGUCUUCUUUAUAUUCUUUUUUGCUCUUAAAGUUUGGAGUCAACAUAACUUCAUGCAUCAUGGACUCAUGCAUAUAAGACCACCUAUUCGUUAAUAUCUAUUGCUUACAUGCUUGCGUUCAGGCAUACAAUCCCUAUAAAUGCAUAGGCAUCCUUGCAUAUAUAAUAUAUUCUUUGUCCAUUUCUUCCUUCAUCACUUCGUUGCUUACAUGCGUAACCUGUUUACUUGCUUCCUUUGCUUACUUCCUUGCUUGUUUUUUUUUCUCUCAACUUGUUUUCUUGCUUCCUUCCUGUGUUACCUAAUUGCUCGCUUCUCAGAUUUCUCUGUUGAGUUCAGUUUUUUUUUCUGUUUAGUUCAUUGAUUAUUUGCUACUUGAUUUUGUAAGUGUUCUCACUUACUCGCACGCUAACUAGCUGUUCUUUAAAAUCAUCAUUGACCAAUAUAUUUAUUGCAAGAUCUAUAUUACAUUAGUUUUAGUUCAUUUAUUUAUUAAUUUUGUCCUUAAUUACUUGCUUUCUUAAUUCUUUACUGGUUCGUUUUCUUGCCUGCUUUGUUAGUUGCUAGCUCUCUUAAUUACUUGCUUUCUUGAUUUGUUGCUAACUUCUUUGCUUCAUUCCUUGAUUCUCUGCGUGCUUGUGUUUCUUUCUAAUUUUAUUUAUUUCUUGCUUGCUUCCUUGUUUUUCUUAGCUUCAUGCUACUUUUAUCAUUUUCUUACUUACCUUCCUUACCUACUAGACCUUUUUAACUUCUUUAUUUCCUUACUUUGAACUAACCCUCUAGCUUAAUAUAUUUAGAUACUUCUCGGUUACUCGUUGAGAGUAGCACAGGUGGAGACUCUUGAGCGUCUAUCAAGGAAACUAAAGUACUAGUUCAUCAACAAUGCCUCCACAUGGAUCAUCUCUUUUGUGAAGGCCUAUGAUGAUCAUUCUUUUUCCGUUACUUCUUCAUUCUGAUCUCGUUUGUAUCUAAAUAUUUUAUUUGACUGUUUUAAUUAUUCAGGGUCUGAGAUCAGGCGUUUACUCUCUCUGCUACCAUGAAACAGGUCCAUCUUUUUCAUGCAUGUCUCAUACCAUCUGUCGUCUUUUUUAUGUAUGACUCAUACCAGCAACUCUUUGACAAAUAUUUUUCGUCAGAUGUGAUGUGUUAUCUUGUGCAUGUUAUGAAAUGGAAGUCAGAGAUUCAUGCUUACUUCCUUAGAUUUUGCAGAACAAGUUCAGGAUAUGAAUCUUCAACCAAAAGUAGUUCGGAUGGCAGAAAUGGAAGAAUUACGUGUUGAGGUCAAAGGCGAGAGUCUGUUCACUUUCAGAUAAGUUCGCUGCCUGUGGAGUAGCUCUUUGACGAUGAUUUUGUAUUGUAAGUUUUUGAUGUGUUCUCAAAUCAGAAGUACAUACUUUAUACGCUUAUUUGCAGAAUUAUAGCAAUCGGAGCUCUAAAAUGUGUGUGAGACAAUCUCUGGAAUUCCUUUGAGUCCCAUCGCAAAAGCUCUAAAUGGCUACGAGAAAACAACUAGCCUGACAUCUUCUUAUUUCUGAAUCAAAUCCGUAUGUCAGAUUUAUAAUUAGGAAAUGCUCUUCCUGUAAGUGUUUCGAAGUGGCGGAAGGGAUUUACGACCGUCUUUAAGUUUACUCAGUUGAAUGAAGCCUCAGAGGAAAACAAAACAGAUUCAGGUCCAUCACAAAUGGCUAAGAUUUUUGUUCAUGAAGUAACAUUCUGUCAGAGACCGUUCUGUUGAUAUCAAGUGCAUCGCAAAUGGAGCUCUAAAAUUUCCGAGAGACAUCGUCUACUAGUUUCUACAGCUUAAUCCUACUUCUGCCAGAAAUUACAUUCUCAGUAUGACAUCACUUUAGAAGGCUAUAUUACUCGGCUGGAGACGGUCAGACAUGUGGAGCUUGAGAUUGGCUACUCGGAUUAAGCUGGUGACAGAGAGCGAGAACUUUUUGAGAAAACUGGCUUGGAACCCCGCACUAACUAUCUGCAAACCAUUGGCAAUGUAUGGCAUCACUUUAGAAGGCUUUAUUACUCAGCUGGGGAUGUCAGACGUGUGAAGCUUGAGGUUAGAACAUGGCAAAAGAAAGAUCCAGUCGUGGAAGCAGUGAUGAAAUAUGUCAUCUUAUUAGCGCUCAGUAUGUUACUCUGAAAACAGGAGCAAGAAAAAGAAACAGGGCCUUCCUUUAUCGAUGGUAACCUCAUACAUCAUGGAUUCUUCAUGCAUAUAAGACCACCUAUCCAUUAAUGCUUACUUGCUUAUUCUGUUUACUUCAUUGCUUGCUUUUUUCUCAACUUGUUUUCUUGCUUCCUUGAUUACUCCCUUAGAUGCUUUACUUGCUUGCUUCUUUGUCUUUUGGUUCUUCUGUUUAGUGCAUUGUCUGUUUCUCUGACUUAUUGAGUUCAGUUUUUAUUCUCUGUUUCUUUGAUAUUUCUGUUUAGUUCAUUGAUUAUUUGCUACUUGACUUUGUUAGUGUGCUCACUUACUCGCACACUACUAGCUGUCUAACAUGAUUUUUAAGAAUCAUCAUCCAAUAAAUUUAAUUUACUAUUUAUUACAUAACUUGCUUUUUUGAUUCUUUACUGGUUUGCUUUUUCUUCGUUAUUUUCUUUCUUUGGUUCGUUAGUUACUAGCUCCCUUAAUUAUUUGCUUUCUUGAUUUGUUGCUUACUUUUUUUCGCUUGUUCCUUGAUUCUCUGCAUGUUGUCUUCUUUCUUAUUUAUUCCUUGCUUGCUUUCUUGUUUCUUUGAUUUCCCGCUUACUUGCUGCAUUGAGUUGUUUACUUUAUUACUUGCUUCCUUUUCUUCUUUGCUUUCUUAAAUACUUGAUUCCUUCCUAGCUUAAUGAUUAUUUUAUCAUUUUCUUAGUUUCUUCAUCGCUUAUUUAACUUCCUUACCUUCUGGGCUUGUUUAACUUUCUUUGCUUAAUAUCUUUAGAUACUUUUCGGUUACUAUUUGAAUGUUGUACAGGUGGAGACUCUCUAGCGUCUAUCCAGGAAACUAAAGUCCUAGUUCAUCAACAAUGCCUCCACAUGGAUCAUUCUCUUUUGUUAAGGCCUAUGAUCAUUAUGUUUUUGUUACUGCUUCAUUCUGAUCUUGUUUGUAUCUAAAUAUUUCAUUCUGACUGUUUUAAUUUUUCAGGGUCUGAGAUCAGACAUUUACUUGCAAUGCAACCAGUCACUGAACCAGGAACCUUAUGAGUUCUCUGGCACCAUGAAACAGGUUUUGCAGAACAAGUUCAGUAUAAGAAUCUCCAACAAAACUAGUUUGGAUGGCAGAAUAUUUGACGAACUACGUGUUGAGUUAAUUACAAAGAAAAUAAUUAUAAAAGGUAUCACUUAACAGUGUUUCAAAAAAAAAAAAAAAAAAAAAGGUAUCACUUAACCAUUCGUGAAAGACGUUGUGUUGUACUUGUAUUGUUUCCUCAUUAAUGAUCACCUAUUCUUUUGAUUAAUCUAACAGUUUUAGUGAAAAUAAGUAAGAUCAGAUCAGGUAUUCCGGUCAUAAGAACGUUUUGAAUAAAUAUAUGUAUUAUUGGAGCAAUCGAAUGACGCCAGACAAAUGUUAAAGAGAUGUAUAUGUUUUUGUAAUGCAUUUCAGGUCAAGAGCGACAAUCAGUUCACUUCACAGUAGUUGUCGUGAUCCCAUUUGGCAUUAGCCCUGAAUUUGAAGAUAAGUUCACUGCAUGUGGAGUUGAUCUUUGAGAUGAUUUUGUAUUGUAAGCUUUUGAUGUGUUCUCAAUAUCAAAAUCACAUAAUGUAUAUGCUUAUUGGCAGAUCCAUCACCAGUGGAGCUCUAAAUGUCUGUGAGAUAACAUCUUCAAGUUUCUUGAAGUUAAGUCUGUGUCCCAUGUAUCUGUCUUCAAUCUUUUCUUCUGCUUUUGAUUUUAUAGUUAUAAAUUUCGAGCUUUUGGCAUGUUCUCAAGUCUGAUCCACAUAUACAUCAUCGUAUCUCUAAGAUUUCGUUUUGUCUAUUUCAGGUCCAUCGCAAGUGGAGCUCAAAUAUGGCUAAGAUACAACCACGAUACCGUGUCAUCUUCUUGUUUCUAAAUCAAAUCCUUCUGUCGAGUUAACAACAUGGAAAAAUAAAAACCCAGUUGUGGCAGGUUUGCACCUUUUGUCCUUAACAGGUCUUAAUGUCCAAGUUACUAUACCAAUCAAAUAUGGUAUAUGGCCUAACAUUCAAAACCUGUCUCUUAGACUAUGGUGGCUUGGAACUCCGCCUUAAGCCUCUGCAAACCACUAGUCCUUUAAGAACAGCAGUCCAUAGUCUGGAGAAAAAAGGCAUAAACGGUUACAGAGAAAGGCACAAACUUAUGGAAAAGAUAUAAUCACGAAUGAAGCUUUCUAGACAUCAUUAAGGCCAGGGAACUACAGAGUAAUCCUACCAAACUUUGUAAGUAUGUUCAAUCAUUUUCUUUUGGUCUUUUGAUUUUGCUUGUAUAGUUUGAUGUUCUCUCUGUUUCCUCUGCAGCAACAGAUUCCAUAGUCUGAUGUGAUGUAUCUCAGAGAAUGUUAUAUAUAGGUUCUUCUCAAUCACUUAAAUUUUCAUUCACACAUACAUACAUGUGUGCAUACAUGUGUGCAUUCGGACAUAUUGCUUUCUUGAUUCUUUACUGGUAUGCUUUCUUACUUUCUUUGUUAUUUUUAUUUUUAUUUUUAUUUCUUUUCUUCGUUAUUAUCUCUCUUUGCUUUGUUUCAACUGUUCCUUAGUUCCCUGCGUGCUUGUUUUCUUUCUUAUUUGUUUCUUGAUUCCUUGCUUUAUUGUGUUCCUUUUUUGCUUCCUUCCUUGUUUUUCUUUGAUUUCGUGGUUCCUUGCUGUAUUUACUUUGUUACUUGAUUUACUGGUUUCUUGCUGUAUUUACUCUUUGUUUACUUUCUUACUGCUUCUUUGUUCAUUGAUUUCCUAAAUACUUGAUUCCUUACUAGCUUCCUGCUUUUAUCAUUUUCGUACUUGCUUCCUUUGUUUACUUGGUUAUCUUACCUACUGGACUGCUUUAACUUUCUUACUCAGAACUAACCAUAUCUUUAUAUAGUUCUCGGUUACUGUUUGAAAAUAGCAUAGAUGGAGGGUAUAGAUGGAGACUCUUGAUCACUAAGGAAAGUCUCGUUAAUGAACAUCGCUUCCACAUGGAUCAUCCCUUUUGUGAUGAUCAUUCUGUUUUUGUUAUUUCUUCAUGCUGAUCUCGUUUGUAUCUAAAUUCUUUUAUAUGUCCGUGCUAAUUAUACAAGAGGGUUAGAUCCUGCCAUUUACUAGCAACCGAGUCUCUGACACCAUGAAACAAGUUCCUUUUUCAAGUACGUAUUUGCCAAAUAUUUUUCAUUAGACAUGUUUGCAUGUAGUCCAUCUUUGAUACCUAACUUGUGACUAUUACUAACUAGCGGUUGGAGAUUCAUGCUUACUUUCUUAGCUGUUGCAGAACUAAUUUGGAUGCCAGAAAAUUGGAAGAAUUACGUGUGUUCUUUCAAUUACGAAGAAAUAAGUAUAUAAGGUAUCGCUUCAUCACUUAACCAUUCAUGAAGGACGUUGUGUUGUACAUUAUUGUUUCCUCAUAAUUGUUCAUCUAUUCUUUUGAUUAAUCUAACAUAAUGUAUAUGCUUAUUUCGCAUAUCAAACUGCCUGAAACACAUUAUUUGCAUUCGUGGAUUCAUGCCUACGUUCAUCUAUACAUCGCAUUCAUGCAUUUGUUCUUCUGUAAUUAUUUGUUUCGUUUCAUUGCUUCCUUCACCGAUUCUUGCAUGCUUGACCUGUUUUCUUGCUUAAUUCUUUGCUUCUUUUGUUUACUUUUUUGCUUGUGUUUUUUGAUUAACUUAUUUGCUUGCUUUCUUGUUUUCUUGAUUGAUUAUUGCUUCUCUGAUUUCUCACUUUCACUUCAUUGUUUAAUUCUCUCUUUCUUUGAUUCCUCUGUUUCGUUCAUUGAUCAUUUUUCUCUUAUUUCACUACUUGUUUUGUCCUACUUGAUAUUGUAAGUGUGUUCACUUACUCGCGCCCUAAUAGCUGCCUAGCAAUUGUUUUUCAAAGUUAUUAUCGUUCAGCCUUAUGUAACUUUAAUUCACUCUUAUUUAUUUUUAGUAAUUUACUGCAAUUAGCAUUAUUAUUAUUAUUUGUUGUAAAAAAGCAUUUUUUUAAAAGCAACUGCAGUUAGCAUUUAUCAGCUAAUUAUACUUUAAAUUAUCAGGCAGCUGAGACGUCAGACAUAUUUUUUUGGGUAAAAGAGUUAGAAGAUUCUUGUGAGAUAAAAUUUUAACAUGUUGUAUGCAUCUUCCGAUUCGAUUACAUGACAAUGUGUAUGAAAAUUGUUUAUAAUAUAAUAAAAAUUAGUUUAGUUAA
Molecule: long non-coding RNA, 9291 nt
Organism: Brassica napus (rape)
Lineage: Eukaryota; Viridiplantae; Streptophyta; Magnoliopsida; Brassicales; Brassicaceae
Exons: 23
Source: RefSeq, a predicted model, not a curated record